UAAAAUGGGGUGGUUGGUGUAUUGUAUAGUUCUAGAGAUUGGAUUUCCCUCAAAACCCACCAAAUGACUCCUCCCUGAAUAUUAUGGUGUUCCCCAAGUUUUGGACUCAAUCCGAUAUCGAUCGGUCCAUGAAAUUUGACAAUUCAGGUUCGUACGAAGUUCGUUCUGAAAUUGAGUGGUUGGUGUAUUGUGUAGUUCUAGAGAUUGGAUUUCACUCCAAACCCACCAAAUGACUCCUCCCACAAUAUUAUGAUGUUCCCCACGUUUUGGACUCAAUCUGAUAUCGAUUGGUCCUUGAAAUCGGACAAUUCAGUUUCGUACGAAGUUCGUUCUGAAAUGGGGUGGUUGGUGUAUUGUAUAGUUCAACAGAUUGGAUUUCACUCCAAACCCACCAAAUGACUCCUCCCACAAUAUUAUGAUGUUCCCCACGUUUUGGACUCAAUCUGAUAUCGAUCGGUCCUUGAAAUCGGACAUUUCAGGUUCGUACGAAGUUCGUUCUGAAAUGGGGUGGUUGGUGUAUUGUAUAGUUCUAGAGAUUGGAUUUCACUCAAAACCAACCAAAUGACUCCUCCCAAAAUAUUAUGAUGUUCCCCAAGUUUUGGACUCAAUCCGAUAUCGAUUGGUCCUUGAAAUCGGACAAUUCAGGUUCGUACGAAGUUCGUUCGAAAUGGGGUGGUUGGUGUAUUGUAUAGUUCUAGAGAUUGGAUUUCACUCAAAACCCACCAAAUGACUCCUCCCUGAAUAUUAUGGUGUUCCCCAAGUUUUGGACUCAAUCCGAUAUCGAUCGGUCCAUGAAAUUUGACUAUUCAAGUUCGUACGAAGUUCGUUCUGAAAUGGAGUGGUUGGUGUAUUGUAUAGUUCUAGAGCUUGGAUUUCACUCAAAACCCCCGAAAUGACCCCUCCCCCAAUAUUAUGAUGUUCCCCAAGUUUUGGACUCAAUCCGAUAUCGAUCGUUCGUUGAAAUCGGAGCAUUCAGGUUCGUACGAAGUUCGUUCUAAAAUGGGGUGGUUGGUGUAUUGUAUAGUUCUAGAGACUGGAUUUCACUCAAAACCCGCCGAAUGACUCCUCCCACAAUAUUAUGAUGUUCCCCUAGUUUUGGGACUCAAUCCGAUAUCGAUUGGUCCUUGAAAUCGGACAAUUCAGGUUCCUAUGAAGUUUUGUUCUGAAAAUGGGGUGGUUGGUGUAUUGUGUUCUAGAGAUUGGGAUUUCAAUCUUAACCCACCAAAUGACUCCUUCCCACAAUAUUAUGAUGUUCCCCAAGUGUUGGACUCAAUCCGAUAUCGAUUGGCCUUGAAAUCGGACAAUUCAGGUGCUACGAAGUUCGCUCUAAAAUGGGGUGGUUGGUGUAUUGUAUAGUUCUAGAGAUUGGAUUCACUCAAAACCCACCAGAAUGACUCUUCCCCGAAUAUUAUGGUGUUACCCACACGAUUUGGACUCAUUCCGAUAUCGAUCGGGCUAGGAAUAUGACUAUUCAGGGUCGUUCGAAGUUCGUUCUGAAAUGGAGUGGUUGGUGUAUUGUAUAGUUCUAGAGCUUGGAUUUCACUCAAAACCCCCCAAAUGACUCCUCCCCCAAUAUUGCGAUGUUCUCCAAGUUUUGGACUCAAUCCGAUAUCGAUUGGUCCUUGAAAUCGGACAAUUCAGGUUCGUACGAAGUUCGUUCUAAAAUGGGGUGGUUGGUGUAUUGUAUAGUUCUAGAGAUUGGAUUUCCCUCAAAACCCACCAAAUGACUCCUCCCUGAAUAUUAUGGUGUUCCCCAAGUUUUGGACUCAAUCCGAUAUCGAUCGGUCCAUGAAAUUUGACAAUUCAGGUUCGUACGAAGUUCGUUCUGAAAUGGAGUGGUUGGUGUAUUGUGUAGUUCUAGAGAUUGGAUUUCACUCCAAACCCACCAAAUGACUCCUCCCACAAUAUUAUGAUGUUCCCCACGUUUUGGACUCAAUCUGAUAUCGAUUGGUCCUUGAAAUCGGACAAUUCAGUUUCGUACGAAGUUCGUUCUGAAAUGGGGUGGUUGGUGUAUUGUACAGUUCAACAGAUUGGAUUUCACUGCAAACCCACCAAAUGACUCCUCCCACAAUAUUAUGAUGUUCCCCACGUUUUGGACUCAAUCUGAUAU
RNAcentral lists this long non-coding RNA (2110 nucleotides) under Prunus persica (peach). RNAcentral's name for it is "long non-coding RNA (PPER_LNC008758)". The record is from RNAcentral. Lineage: Eukaryota; Viridiplantae; Streptophyta; Magnoliopsida; Rosales; Rosaceae.